RNAcentral lists this long non-coding RNA (233 nucleotides) under Phoenix dactylifera (date palm). RNAcentral describes it as "long non-coding RNA (PDAC_LNC017319)". The record is from RNAcentral. Lineage: Eukaryota; Viridiplantae; Streptophyta; Magnoliopsida; Arecales; Arecaceae.
AUGGUGUGAUUUAGAGCCGAUUAUGGGUUAGGCUUGGUUAUAGAAAAUGUUAAAUUUCAAUUAAGUUCGGCCCAAAGUCUGAGUAAAAAUAUAGUUUAGGCUUGAGGCCUAGUUCAUGAUCAGCUUUACUGUUAUCAGAAAUCUGAAAGAAAUAAAUUUUUGUUUUUAUUUUUUAGAAAGAAAAAUGGUAAUAAUGCCAAACGUGGUCUAAGUUUUUGAUUUUGUUAGAUUUA